RNAcentral lists this ribosomal RNA (253 nucleotides) under uncultured bacterium. Its description in RNAcentral is "partial 16S ribosomal RNA". It matches the Rfam family "Bacterial small subunit ribosomal RNA", at positions 524 to 776 of the family's 1533-position model. The record is from RNAcentral.
UACGUAGGGUGCGAGCGUUGUCCGGAUUUAUUGGGCGUAAAGAGCUUGUAGGCGGCUCGUCACGUCGGGUGUGAAAACUUGCGGCUCAACCGCAAGCCUGCACCCGAUACGGGCGGGCUAGAGUUCGGCAGGGGAGACUGGAAUUCCUGGUGUAGCGGUGGAAUGCGCAGAUAUCGAGAGGAACACCUGCGGCGAAGGCGGGUUGCUGGGCCGACACUGACGCUGAUGCGCGAAAGCCAGGGGAGCGAACGGG